RNAcentral lists this non-coding RNA (30 nucleotides) under Homo sapiens (human). The record is from RNAcentral. Lineage: Eukaryota; Metazoa; Chordata; Mammalia; Primates; Hominidae.
UAAGGGAGUGUCUCACAGGAUUGCACCUGU